RNAcentral lists this ribosomal RNA (253 nucleotides) under uncultured bacterium. Its description in RNAcentral is "partial 16S ribosomal RNA". It matches the Rfam family "Bacterial small subunit ribosomal RNA", at positions 524 to 776 of the family's 1533-position model. The record is from RNAcentral.
UACGGAGGGCGCAAGCGUUGUCCGGAAUUAUUGGGCGUAAAGAGCUCGUAGGCGGUUUGUCGCGUCUGCUGUGAAAGCCCGGGGCUCAACCCCGGGUGUGCAGUGGGUACGGGCAGGCUGGAGUGCAGUAGGGGAGACUGGAAUUCCUGGUGUAGCGGUGAAAUGCGCAGAUAUCAGGAGGAACACCGAUGGCGAAGGCAGGUCUCUGGGCUGUUACUGACGCUGAGGAGCGAAAGCGUGGGGAGCGAACAGG